RNAcentral lists this ribosomal RNA (447 nucleotides) under uncultured bacterium. RNAcentral's name for it is "SSU rRNA". It matches the Rfam family "Bacterial small subunit ribosomal RNA", at positions 26 to 518 of the family's 1533-position model. The record is from RNAcentral.
AGAGCGAACGCUGGCGGCAGGCUUAACACAUGCAAGUCGAGCGGGCGUAGCAAUACGUCAGCGGCAGACGGGUGAGUAACGCGUGGGAACGUACCUUUUGGUUCGGAACAACCCAGGGAAACUUGGGCUAAUACCGGAUAAGCCCUUACGGGGAAAGAUUUAUCGCCGAAAGAUCGGCCCGCGUCUGAUUAGCUAGUUGGUGAGGUAAUGGCUCACCAAGGCGACGAUCAGUAGCUGGUCUGAGAGGAUGAUCAGCCACAUUGGGACUGAGACACGGCCCAAACUCCUACGGGAGGCAGCAGUGGGGAAUAUUGGACAAUGGGCGCAAGCCUGAUCCAGCCAUGCCGCGUGAGUGAUGAAGGCCCUAGGGUUGUAAAGCUACUUUGUGCGGGAAGAUAAUGACGGUACCGCAAGAAUAAGCCCGGCUAACUUCGCGCCAGCAGCCGC